This 881-nucleotide long non-coding RNA is filed under the name Homo sapiens (human). RNAcentral describes it as "HSALNT0372290". The record is from RNAcentral. Lineage: Eukaryota; Metazoa; Chordata; Mammalia; Primates; Hominidae.
GAAAAGGCAUCUAAAUCAUAUUACUGAGCAGAAAAGGCCUCAGGGGAAAUAGCACGUGAACUGAGCUUCCAAGAAGUCAGGGUUAUUUAGAUCAAAGAUAGGGUGGAGGCGGGCGGCAUUCUGGGUUUCAAGAAAACAGUCCAUGAGAAGGCAUGGUGGCACACACAAGCAUCACACGUCUGGGAAGUACAGCUUUCAUGUGGCUGCAGUACACUUGGCAAUAUUUGGCGAGAAAAGGAGGAUUCUAAUCCCCAAGGGCCCUUUUUAUCCAGGGAAUAGCAUUUCAAGGUUCAGUGGAGGAGAACCCCAAGAGCACCAAAAUGGAAAGAUGAUUUGUAAAGCUGAGGAAAAUGUCCAGCUGUGUUUUUAUGAGGACUCUCACUGCACUGAUAUGACAGAUGACACCUUCCCUCAACACUGUUCAUCAUUGACUGCUGAGGGCUCCUUCUUCAGUUUAUAACAGGAUGGUAACUUCAUAAGCAAUGUAGGACUUUCACAGGGUUCCACACGAAGCGUGUCUGGAUAAUUCAGCCAAGCUCUUCAGUCUCCAGCAGUGAUGGAAUCAGGAGCUCGCUUGGCCAGCCCUCUAAUGACUCAGUCACAGGGUCAUCCACUUGGGGGUGUGAGGAGAGGAGGCUUCUCCCCGCAAGUGCUUUCGGGGUGAUGCCGUAGAUUCUUUGUACCUCAGGAGUUACUUUUGCAAUUAGAGGUUCUCUCUCUCUCUUGGUAUUUUAUGCAUCUAAUUCUGCUUUUCUAUGCAUGAGUCUUGUCGGAUUCAGGCACAGCAAUAAGUCUCCAAAAUAGGGUCAGAGUGAGUUUAAUGAAGAAGUUAUUGUUUUCUUAAGGAUGAAAAUAAACAGAGAGAAUGCCUUAUUACAUAA